This 353-nucleotide long non-coding RNA is filed under the name Canis lupus familiaris (dog). Its description in RNAcentral is "lncRNA (ENSCAFG00845029579.1)". The record is from RNAcentral. Lineage: Eukaryota; Metazoa; Chordata; Mammalia; Carnivora; Canidae.
GCGGGGUGGGCGGGCGGGAGCGCGGCGCAGGCGCAGGCGCAGUCGAGGGGCCUGGCCGGCUCCCCCCCAACCCCGGAGUCCCGGGGCUCUGCUCUCCGCCGGGCUCCUGCUGCCGUCGCCGUCCGUCGCCUCUUCCUCCGUCUCCGUCCUGCUGCCUCGCAGGCCUGCUUUCCUCUUGCUCCUCCGGGGAUCUUGGCCUUGCUCCUCUUCUCUCCGGAGCGGGCAGUGACACCCCGACGCCUACCUCCCGCGUGUGUUUUGAGUGUUCUUUCUACCUCAUAAAACUGUGGCAUCCAAGAGCUGGAAGGAGUCUCAAGAAGUCAUUGCCCAUUGGACACGGGACCAGAUAUUGA